CCCUGCAGCCCCCCGGGCCACGACACCGGCUCGUCUCUCCUGCCAGGACUCACAUUCCGGGGGUGCUUUCACCUGCCGUGCAGGAUGUGACAAUUCCCCAGGUAUUGUGGUCUGCAAGACAGAGCUGCCAAUCCUUUGGUUUCUCAUGAGCAGGCUGAAGCAUUAUCAAAAGAGAGGAGCAGCUGCGAGCUUCACAGAUUGAGCAUACAUCUGAACAUUUAACGGCCCUGGUUUAUCCUGGCUUCAAGGCAUCACAAUAUAAUAUUCACUGACAUGAAAGCUGAAGAAAGGAUGUCAUGGGAAGUCUGAGAGUCACGCUGUGAGAGGAUGCAAAAAACCCAAAAUGGAUGCAUUUUCACUCAGCUGCUUUGAAAGCAAAUGAGGCCAUUGCUGAAAAACUAUGCACAGGACCUGAAAGCUGAAAAAUUCUGAUCCAGAUUUCAAACACCAAGUGCUGAGGGACCACAUGUUCCUAUCUUCGAGGAUUUGUAAUUCCUAACCAGACCUCUUCCAAAAGGUGACAGUCAGGACAGGACAGAGUCAAGAUGGAGCAGGCACAGGGAUGGCACAUCCCCUCUCACCUUCCCCAGGUACUUCCUGGGGGCUACACUCACCUUUGCCAUGGCAAUUCACCCCAGCUGCUGUGCACCUCUGCAGGCUGAGCAGGAGGACAAAGCAGAAGACAAAGGGAAGAAGAACAGAUCACUGCAGAAGGAUCAUGCAGUGUCCUGAAUAAAUGUACAGAUCUCACAGGCUUACCCCUGACCAGGGACUCCUGAGCAGCACAGGAAAUCAUUCCGAGGCUGAACACUGCCAAUCCAGCUCCUAGCAGCUCUGACAGAAUAUUUGAUGCCCACAGAUGGGAAGAAGGACUGAAGGCCACAGCUAAUUGGCUUUGUGAAUUAUUGGGGAACUGUAGAGAGGUGACUGCAGUCAGACAAGAGCCAAUCAAGUUUAAAGUCCACUGAAGAAUUUUCAAAAGUGAUGCAGAGCAAUUGGACACCCCUGAACACGCUGUGGUUUGAUGAUGCAUCAGUUACUUUGCUGAGGGUCCACACCAUUAGAAAAUCCUUCUCCUGCACUGCUAUCACAGAUUCUCCACAAAGAGUGAAAUCUGCUAAAUUUGGUCUUACUUAGCCUAGUUGGACUUCAAAGUCUGUAGAGCUUUAAAAGUGCUACCAUCCCUGCAACACCAAAUCAAUCUCUGUUCUGCCAAUGAAGAGCAGUACCACAAAUAAACAAUUAUAUGUCAAUAGA
Non-coding RNA from Cyanistes caeruleus (blue tit), 1257 nucleotides. NCBI's taxonomy places the organism in Eukaryota, Metazoa, Chordata, Aves, Passeriformes, Paridae. The record is from RefSeq and is a predicted model, not a curated record.